GACGAACGCUGGCGGCGUGCCUAAUACAUGCAAGUUGAGCGCUGAAGGUUGGUACUUGUACCAACUGGAUGAGCAGCGCACGGGUGAGUAACGCGUGGGGAAUCUGCCUUUGAGCGGGGGACAACAUUUGGAAACGAAUGCUAAUACCGCAUAAAAACUUUAAACACAAGUUUUAAGUUUGAAAGAUGCAAUUGCAUCACUCAAAGAUGAUCCCGCGUUGUAUUAGCUAGUUGGUGAGGUAAAGGCUCACCAAGGCGAUGAUACAUAGCCGACCUGAGAGGGUGAUCGGCCACCUUGGGACUGAGACACGGCCCAAACUCCUACGGGAGGCAGCAGUAGGGAAUCUUCGGCAAUGGACGAAAGUCUGACCGAGCAACGCCGCGGGAGUGAAGAAGGUUUUCGGAUCGUAAAACUCUGUUGGUAGAGAAGAACGUUGGUGAGAGUGGAAAGCUCAUCAAGUGACGGUAACUACCCAGAAAGGGACGGCUAACUACGUG
RNAcentral lists this ribosomal RNA (497 nucleotides) under uncultured bacterium. Its description in RNAcentral is "partial 16S ribosomal RNA". It matches the Rfam family "Bacterial small subunit ribosomal RNA", at positions 28 to 507 of the family's 1533-position model. The record is from RNAcentral.